Paramuricea clavata is the source of this 354-nucleotide non-coding RNA. NCBI's taxonomy places the organism in Eukaryota, Metazoa, Cnidaria, Anthozoa, Malacalcyonacea, Plexauridae. The record is from the annotation of a GenBank genome assembly.
CGAUCCGAUGCACACCUCUACUGGGUUAUACUUUCAUUAGAAGUCAGAUUUAAACAACUUUACUUCAACCAAAGGCGGAUGGAGGUCAGAUUCCAAUGAGAAUCUUUGGUUUAAAUGCACUCCAGGUGCAUUGAACUGGAGCCUAAUGAAAGCCACCUAUAUAUUUACAUAUUAUAUUUUUACAUUUCAAAUAAUUUCAUACCAUCAAUUUCCUGCCAAUUGACGGCCACUUCAGUGAUUGGAAUAUUUAGUCUCUGAGCAAUGUACAAUAGCUCCACAUCAAAAGCCCUGAAAAUUUAAUGACAUACAUCAACCAUUAGAGACUCUUGAAAACACUCGACACUUGUUUCUGUA